Long non-coding RNA from Oreochromis aureus, 381 nucleotides. RefSeq lists it as uncharacterized. The transcript is spliced from 3 exons. Lineage: Eukaryota; Metazoa; Chordata; Actinopteri; Cichliformes; Cichlidae. The record is from RefSeq and is a predicted model, not a curated record.
UUUCCUGUUUGCUGAACUUCGUGGAGUGGAGCUUGUUGUUGGUGUGUGUGAAGAAACUUGUAACAAGUGUCACCUGGCAGUUUGUUGCUCUCUGCCAGGUGAUUGGCUGAAGAGCUGUGAAAAGGUAGUGGGUGUGUGGGGUGAAGUCAGCGCUCUUCUGUCAGGCAAUUAAUUCACUCGGGUGCGAGUGGGUAUACUGUCGAUCGUAGGCCAUGCAUAGCGCUGAUUCCCAGCUGCGCUGAGACCCGAAUUGUUUGCAGUGUCGCUAAGCGGGGUGUGACGGGUUGCAGUGUUGUUAUUUUCGCACCGUUUGUGUGGUGAAGGUAGAAAGUGUGUGUGAGCUGAUGUGAAUUGAGCAGCAUGGAUCAGUGUGAGGACAGA